CUUGUCGUUCCUAUGAGACGAGUGAGUGCGCGUAACGGAUCUUAUAUAUUGUAUUACCAGACGGCGGCGGCGUCGUCGAACCGCGGGGAAAGGUGCGCGCGUGUAUUAUCUCCGGCGGCGGCGUUGUACACGCGUAUAAUACAGUACGGAUUACGCGCGCGCGCCCGCACGGAUCGGGACGGCAGCGGCGUACGCACACAUUAUACAGAUAAGAAGCCGGUCGGCCGAGAACUCGGGACGACGACGACGUGCCAACUGCCAAGUACAACAGUCGCCGCGCGUACGCGUACCACGCGGUAAUUGCAACUAAGGCGCGGCGGCGGCGUACCUUCGACGUACACAGUGACGCGUGCGGUAAAAUAUUAUUAUUAUUAUAUUUGAAAUAUCUAUAAUAAUUAAUAAUAUUUUCGUGGUAGUUUUUGUUAUUUGUAUUGCCGUUGUACGGGUAUCGGCGGCUGUUACCAUGAUUUGUAUACCGCACGUGGCGGCUGCACACAGUCCAAUGGACACGUUCGUUUUGCAGUAGACUACAACUGUAUAAUAUUUAGGUACCGGCAGCGGUAACCAAGAAAGUACCAACUAGAUCCAAUUAACUACGAAAACCCUCCUCAAAGUUGAAAAUUGAAGCAUAUUUACUACUUUAAAAAGUGACGACAGAU
Molecule: long non-coding RNA, 659 nt
Organism: Rhopalosiphum maidis (corn leaf aphid)
Lineage: Eukaryota; Metazoa; Arthropoda; Insecta; Hemiptera; Aphididae
Exons: 3
Source: RefSeq, a predicted model, not a curated record